AAAAGAUUAAUUCUGUUACAUCAUAACCAUAUAAAGUUAUCCCAACAAUAUAAUAUUGGCUUAACAUUUGACAAUCUCUGUAACUUAUGGGUUGCAUGAUACCCCCCAGAAAGAUUCAUUGAAGUCUUAACCACUAGUGCCCAGGAAUGUGACUUUAUUUGUAAAUAAGGUCUUUGCAGACAUAAUCAAUUUGGGAUAGUCAUUAGGGAAGAGCUACUCUCAUACAACUGUCUUUUUUUUCAUCCAGUACUGGAGAUUGACCCAAGGUAUCAUGCAUACUAAGUAAGAGCUCUUCUCUAUGAGAAGAAACACACUCCCAUGGGAAGAUAGAGACACUCAAGGAAAAAGCCUUGUGGUGACAGAGGCAGAGAUUGGAGUGAUGUGGCCACAAGCCAAAGAAUGCCAAAACUGAUGUCCAGCACUGGAGACUAGGAAAGGAAAGGCAAAUAAUCUACACCAACAGAAGCAGAUCAGUGGUUGUCUAAAGAAGACCAAAAUGGAAAACUGGGAUGGGGUGCUGAAGAAUGUGAUUACAACAAAGAACACAGGAACUUCCAAAAGUCACAGCUGUUGCAUCAGAAUGAGCUGCAGAAGAGCAAGUGACCCAGGUUUGUCUCACUGCGCCACCUGCAACCUACCUGUGAAGCGGAUAAUCCCCCUGGGCCCUUGCUGACUGGAAGGCCAUCAAUAUCACAUGGAGAAAGUGGCAGCACUCUAGGCAAGGUGAAGAGGUAAACAGCCCACCCAGAAGACCCACAGCUGCUCCCCCAGAAAGACAAUGUUCACUUUUCUUGUGAUCAUGACCUUCCAACCUGGGGACUGCUGAGAACAGAUUGGAACAUGUAGGCAUCUUUAGACUCUGUGAAAGGAGCUAAGCCACCUUCUCUUCCCACCAUUUGCCCACUGUACUUACUGGUCUUAUUCAUUCAUUAAGUAGAGGAGAUCCAGCCUAGGAGUCCACAAAAAUACUCUCAUAUAUAAUACAAUGUAUUUACCAUAAUGCCAACACAGAGCGUGUAUUUGAAUCCAGAGCCUUAUAUGUUGCAUUAGGCAAGCACUCUACCACCAAGCUCUCUCUCCAGCUGUGUGUGUGUGUGUGUGUGUGUGUGUGUGUGUGUGUGUGUGUGUGCAUGUAUGUGUUACUGGGACUUGACUGCAGGGCUUUCACACUGACCUACAUUCUCAGCCCUCUUUUCCUCCUCCUCCUCCUCUUCCUCCUCCUCUUUUUCUCCAUCUCUUUAUUUUCUCCUCCUCCUCCAUCUCCAUCUCCAUCUCGAGCUCCAGCUCCAUCUCCGGCUCCAGCUCUUCCUCCUCCUGCUCCUGCUCCUUCUCUUUCUUUUUCACUGUCACUAUGCCCAUGCUGGGUUCAAACUUGGGAUUCUCUUGCCUUAGCUUCCCACAGAUUAUAUCUCACCACAUCCAACUCCCAGAACUUUUAAAAAACUAUUUAUGUUGAGACAGGGUCUUGCUAAAUUAUCUGGGCUUGCCUGGAAGUUUUGAUUCUCCUGCCUCAACCUUUGAUGAAGCUGGCAUUACAAGCAUGCACCACCAUGCUGGCUAAGUUUUAUCUUUUUAAUGGGGAGGACCACAAAGACAAAGUUGCCACAGGCCCACAAAAAAACAUGAAGUAGUUCUGAUCAUUUAUCCUCUAUCAGUUUCAUUGUUUCCUUCAAUGAAAUGAUCAAGGUGGAUUGUGGAUUCUCCUCUUCAUCAUUCUGGCACAGGAAACUGGGAUUUUUGGAAUGAAAAUAGCUAGAACCAUGAAGUUAAACUGAGACCUCCCUCCUCCGAGCAGAAUCAGGCAGAUGGAGCCAUGCUUAGCAGGGAGCAGAAAUUGCUUUCUUUAAUUGCCCACACAAAUAACCAUUACCACACUGGAAAGAUAAAAAGCAAAAACUCUAGACAAUAACUUGGCAUAUCCCCUUUUGUUAGAAAUUAUUAUCCCCUCAUUCUAUAUAAUAAGGUUUUUAGGAAAUAUGAACACUUCCUUUCAAAUC
Molecule: long non-coding RNA, 1997 nt
Organism: Cavia porcellus (domestic guinea pig)
Lineage: Eukaryota; Metazoa; Chordata; Mammalia; Rodentia; Caviidae
Exons: 3
Source: RefSeq, a predicted model, not a curated record